This 301-nucleotide ribosomal RNA is filed under the name uncultured bacterium. Its description in RNAcentral is "partial 16S ribosomal RNA". It matches the Rfam family "Bacterial small subunit ribosomal RNA", at positions 509 to 807 of the family's 1533-position model. The record is from RNAcentral.
CAGCCGCCGCGGGAAUGCGGAGGGUGCAAGCGUUAAUCGGAACUACUGGGCGUAAAGCGCACGCAGGCGGUUUGUUAAGUCAGAUGUGAAAUCCCCGAGCUUAACUUGGGAACUGCAUUUGAAACUGGCAAGCUAGAGUCUUGUAGAGGGGGGUAGAAUUCCAGGUGUAGCGGUGAAAUGCGUAGAGAUCUGGAGGAAUACCGGUGGCGAAGGCGGCCCCCUGGACAAAGACUGACGCUCAGGUGCGAAAGCGUGGGGAGCAAACAGGACUAGAUACCCGCGUAGUCCCUGUCUCUUAUAC